CUUAAUGACCAUUAUGUACAAGUACAAAUUCAUCACAUCAUUAUAAUUAACGUACAUAUUUUCCAGUGUAGUGGUAGCGUUGCUGGUGGCUAGCUGCCGUAUUGGCAACAUAGUCUACAUUUUUCUCUGCAUUUUCCAACUUUUGGUAUUUACUCCAUAGGCUUUUUCCCCGUCUUGUCUACGCCG
Molecule: long non-coding RNA, 186 nt
Organism: Rhagoletis zephyria (snowberry fruit fly)
Lineage: Eukaryota; Metazoa; Arthropoda; Insecta; Diptera; Tephritidae
Source: RefSeq, a predicted model, not a curated record